This 256-nucleotide long non-coding RNA is filed under the name Zonotrichia albicollis (white-throated sparrow). Its description in RNAcentral is "lncRNA (ENSZALG00000014730.1)". Lineage: Eukaryota; Metazoa; Chordata; Aves; Passeriformes; Passerellidae. The record is from RNAcentral.
UUUCCUUCUAUGUCUAAAAAAGAAAUGAAUUGACUAUGUGAUAUUAACAAAUUUUCUGUUUCAAGGGAGAAAGAGGCAUCCCAGGGCUUCCUGGACUCCGAGGAGAAAAAGGAGAGUCAGGCAAAGCCUAUGGCAUAGGAGAGAAAGGAGAAAAGGGUGAAGAAGGCUUUCCUGGCUUUCCUGGACUGAAAGGGGACAAAGGAGAAAAAGUAAGUCCAAGUCUUUAUUAAUUAUACUCUGAAAAGUUUAGGAGUUU